RNAcentral lists this ribosomal RNA (439 nucleotides) under uncultured bacterium. RNAcentral describes it as "partial 16S ribosomal RNA". It matches the Rfam family "Bacterial small subunit ribosomal RNA", at positions 338 to 795 of the family's 1533-position model. The record is from RNAcentral.
CCUACGGGAGGCUGCAGUGGGGAAUAUUGCACAAUGGAGGAAACUCUGAUGCAGCGACGCCGCGUGAACGAUGAAGGCUUUCGGGUCGUAAAGUUCUGUCCUAGGGGACGAUAAUGACGGUACCCUAGGAGGAAGCCCCGGCUAACUACGUGCCAGCAGCCGCGGUAAUACGUAGGGGGCAAGCGUUGUCCGGAUUUAUUGGGCGUAAAGGGUUCGCAGGUGGUCCUUUAAGUCAGAUGUGAAAGAUCACAGCUAAACUGUGGUAAGCAUUUGAAACUGAAGGACUUGAGUUAAGGAGAGGAAAGUGGAAUUCCUAGUGUAGCGGUGAAAUGCGUAGAUAUUAGGAGGAAUACCAGUGGCGAAGGCGACUUUCUGGACUUAUACUGACACUGAGGAACGAAAGCGUGGGGAGCAAACAGGAUUAGAUACCCUUGUAGUC